RNAcentral lists this ribosomal RNA (1486 nucleotides) under uncultured Propionibacterium sp. RNAcentral describes it as "bacterial SSU rRNA". It matches the Rfam family "Bacterial small subunit ribosomal RNA". Lineage: Bacteria; Bacillati; Actinomycetota; Actinomycetes; Propionibacteriales; Propionibacteriaceae. The record is from RNAcentral.
AGAGUUUGAUCCUGGCUCAGGACGAACGCUGGCGGCGUGCUUAACACAUGCAAGUCGAACGGAAAGGCCCUGCUUUUGUGGGGUGCUCGAGUGGCGAACGGGUGAGUAACACGUGAGUAACCUGCCCUUGACUUUGGGAUAACUUCAGGAAACUGGGGCUAAUACCGGAUAGGAGCUCCUGCUGCAUGGUGGGGGUUGGAAAGUUUCGGCGGUUGGGGAUGGACUCGCGGCUUAUCAGCUUGUUGGUGGGGUAGUGGCUUACCAAGGCUUUGACGGGUAGCCGGCCUGAGAGGGUGACCGGCCACAUUGGGACUGAGAUACGGCCCAGACUCCUACGGGAGGCAGCAGUGGGGAAUAUUGCACAAUGGGCGGAAGCCUGAUGCAGCAACGCCGCGUGCGGGAUGACGGCCUUCGGGUUGUAAACCGCUUUCGCCUGUGACGAAGCGUGAGUGACGGUAAUGGGUAAAGAAGCACCGGCUAACUACGUGCCAGCAGCCGCGGUGAUACGUAGGGUGCGAGCGUUGUCCGGAUUUAUUGGGCGUAAAGGGCUCGUAGGUGGUUGAUCGCGUCGGAAGUGUAAUCUUGGGGCUUAACCCUGAGCGUGCUUUCGAUACGGGUUGACUGAGGAAGGUAGGGGAGAAUGAAUUCCUGGUGGAGCGGUGGAAUGCGCAGAUAUCAGGAGGAACACCAGUGGCGAAGGCGGUUCUCUGGGCCUUUCCUGACGCUGAGGAGCGAAAGCGUGGGGAGCGAACAGGCUUAGAUACCCUGGUAGUCCACGCUGUAAACGGUGGGUACUAGGUGUGGGGUCCAUUCCACGGGUUCCGUGCCGUAGCUAACGCUUUAAGUACCCCGCCUGGGGAGUACGGCCGCAAGGCUAAAACUCAAAGGAAUUGACGGGGCCCCGCACAAGCGGCGGAGCAUGCGGAUUAAUUCGAUGCAACGCGUAGAACCUUACCUGGGUUUGACAUGGAUCGGGAGUGCUCAGAGAUGGGUGUGCCUCUUUUGGGGUCGGUUCACAGGUGGUGCAUGGCUGUCGUCAGCUCGUGUCGUGAGAUGUUGGGUUAAGUCCCGCAACGAGCGCAACCCUUGUUCACUGUUGCCAGCACGUUAUGGUGGGGACUCAGUGGAGACCGCCGGGGUCAACUCGGAGGAAGGUGGGGAUGACGUCAAGUCAUCAUGCCCCUUAUGUCCAGGGCUUCACGCAUGCUACAAUGGCUGGUACAGAGAGUGGCGAGCCUGUGAGGGUGAGCGAAUCUCGGAAAGCCGGUCUCAGUUCGGAUUGGGGUCUGCAACUCGACCUCAUGAAGUCGGAGUCGCUAGUAAUCGCAGAUCAGCAACGCUGCGGUGAAUACGUUCCCGGGGCUUGUACACACCGCCCGUCAAGUCAUGAAAGUUGGUAACACCCGAAGCCGGUGGCCUAACCGUUGUGGGGGAGCCGUCGAAGGUGGGACUGGUGAUUAGGACUAAGUCGUAACAAGGUAACCAA